CCUACGGGUGGCUGCAGUGGGGAAUAUUGGGCAAUGGGCGAAAGCCUGACCCAGCAACGCCGCGUGAAGGAUGAAGGCCUUCGGGUUGUAAACUUCUUUUGUCAGGGAAGAGCAGAUGCCCGUACCUGUCGUAUAAGCCUCGGCUAACCACGUGCCAGCAGCCGCAGUAAUUCGGAGGGGGCAAGCGUUGUCCGGCUUUGCUGGGGGUAAAGGUCGUGUAGCCGGGCUGAUAAGGCAGUUGUGAAAUCCGGGGGCUCAACCCCCGAACUGCCUUUGAAACUGGGGGUCUUGAGUUUCGGAGAGGCAGGCGGAAGUCCUAGUGUAGCGGUGAAAUGCGUAGAUAUUAGGAGGAACACCAGUGGCGAAGGCGGCCUGCUGGACGACAACUGACGGUGAGGCACGAAAGCGUGGGGAGCAAACAGGAUUAGAUACCCUUGUAGUC
This 442-nucleotide ribosomal RNA is filed under the name uncultured bacterium. RNAcentral describes it as "partial 16S ribosomal RNA". It matches the Rfam family "Bacterial small subunit ribosomal RNA", at positions 338 to 795 of the family's 1533-position model. The record is from RNAcentral.